Molecule: ribosomal RNA, 424 nt
Filed under: uncultured bacterium
Lineage: Bacteria
Description: partial 16S ribosomal RNA
Rfam family: Bacterial small subunit ribosomal RNA
Source: RNAcentral
GUGGGGAAUCUUGCGCAAUGGGCGAAAGCCUGACGCAGCCAUGCCGCGUGAAUGAUGAAGGUCUUAGGAAUGUAAAAUUCUUUCACCGGGGACGAUAAUGACGGUACCCGGAGAAGAAGCUCCGGCUAACUUCGUGCCAGCAGCCGCGGUAAUACGAAGGGGGCUAGCGUUGCUCGGAAUUACUGGGCGUAAAGGGCGCGUAGGCGGACAGCUUAGUCAGAGGUGAAAGCCCAGGGCUCAACCUUGGAAUUGCCUUUGAUACUGGCUGUCUUGAGUUUGGGAGAGGUGAGUGGAACUCCGAGUGUAGAGGUGAAAUUCGUAGAUAUUCGGAAGAACACCAGUGGCGAAGGCGACUCACUGGCCCAAUACUGACGCUGAGGCGCGAAAGCGUGGGGAGCAAACAGGAUUAGAAACCCCUGUAGUC